AUGGAAACAACAAUGAACAAACAGCAACUCCAAGGAGAUCCCAGUCAUUACCAGUCCACAUCUGGAACAUCCAAACCAAUUCCUGGUGACUCUGGAGUUUGCAUCAUGCAGAACUAUUGCUUCAGCACUGCUUUGUUCAGGCUGAACAAAGUUCUAUUGCAUUGUGAGCUGAAAACCUCUGUUUCUUCUCUCCACCAACACGUAAACUCUUCCCCACACACAUGGGAAAUUCCCUUGUUAUACACAAAAACUCAGGUCUGGACACUUUCCUCGGCCCAAGCUUGCCUCGAUUUGACUUGGAUGUCAUGGAGGAACAGAAAUGAACACAGGGAAAUUACUCUGUGGCACUUCACAGCAUAUAUAAAAUACCCGAGACGGAAGUUAAUACAUCAGAAAUUAACUUUACCAGGGGAACAGAAACAAAUGAACAAGAACAAAAAAAGCAACCACCGAGCACAAACAACAACAGCCCCCAGGGAAAGGGAGGCACUGGCUGGCUUUAAAGACUCAGCAGCAUCAAGUCGAGAGUUCUUAUUCGUCAGAGAACCAGACUCCAUACUGGACCUUUAUCAAAGUCAGUCCGCACUAACAAGCGGGAAAAAAAUUCACCGUAAUCAUUCUGAAGCACACACACACACGCCAGGAGCUUUUACCAGACGAUGCUGGGCAGCAUACACGCAAAACAAAAGCUCAAACAACCAGCUUCCUCCGACUAACACCCUGAAGCACGGCUGUAUGAAGGAGAAAAGCGACGGCGGCAAAAACCAGAUUCCCGGAGUCACCACGGGGCCCUCGCGCCGACCCACCCCCGCCCUCCGCGCGCAGCGAAGCGCCGUGAGGCGGCAGCGCCCUCCCUGCCGGCACCGCGCAGCACGGCCCCGCCCACCGCGAGCGGGGAGGAAAGGGAAGAAGGGAAGGGGGGAGGAGAGAAUACCUCCGCUGCUCGCCCCGCCGCUGCCGCGCAGCCCUCUCCCGCCCGUUGGCUGCCGGGAGCGGCAUGGCGGCCGGAAGCGGCGCGCGUCCCGGGCGGGCGGCAGCGCCACUGGAGGCGGUCGCCCUCCAGUAGCUUGUGGAUGGCCCUGGAUGCGGACUAACACUCGGGCGGUCGGGCCAGGCCUCCCCGAGGCAGCCGAGCACCCCCGGGUGCUGAGGAGAGGCCCUGCCCGCACCCAGCCCCGCCCCGAGCUCCUGCCUCGGGCAGCCCUAACCAUCUGUGCCGCCUUAGGCCGUGUUCUCACCUAAAUCGCCUCCUGCCCCUAGGAGGGCUCUGUGAUGAGUCAGUAAAACGCUCAGCCCCUCCUUGCACCCCAUCAAAGCGUUCACUAGGAGAAGGCUGGCUGGAGGAGACUCUUAGAGCAGUGUAGCCAUCGCACUGCGGGCUGAUUUGUUUUGCAGUGUUGUCAGUUUUCACCUUUCUUUAGUCUGUGUUAGGCCUUUCCGCAGAAAAGCGAUGUCUGUGUCCCCGCGCGCAGCCUGUGUGACACCAGCGUGUCCUGUUGGUGCUGCGCUUACUGCAGUGUGCUUUGUUACAAUUUCCUUCUAAGGUUGUGACUUCAUUAUUUAUAGUUACCAGCUCAGGUAAAGAAAACCAACUUGUGUAACAAACACAUGUAACUAACACCUCAGGCAAUAUGCAUGACUUUUUCCCUUGGACUUCAGCUUAUUUUCCUCCUCUUUUUUUCAGUACCAUCUUGAUGCAGGAGAGAAGGCAGGGACUUGCAGGAGGUUCAUUUUAAGUGUCCCUUUAACCUUUAAGCACUGAAACGUCCUCCAUGAUAUAGUCACUUUUCUGUCACCUGCAGUUACUGAUUUUUGGUUUCAUUGUAAUGUUUCACCAGGUAUGGCUCCUGCUUUCAAGGUCCCUUUUGCUGUAGAAAUCCAUGACCUACCUUUUCCAUGCUCUCUGCCUUCUGCCCUGUUACCUCCACAGUUCACCUGAUCUUCUCAUAGACCAAUCUAACGCUCUAGGACAGCAGGAAAAAAUCCUGUGUUUUUCUGGAUUUCCUGCUGUUUUGUGCUCAGUUAGCUCAUGGAAAGGCUGGUCAGAGUGUGAGCUGACAGAGAACAUCAUGGAGGGGAAAAGCUGAGAAAAGAGAGAUGUCCCUAUAGGCAACGCUGAGCCAUUAGAUAACUUAGCUGUCCAAGGAGCCAUAACAUUGCCUGAUAAUGGCACCGCAGCCACAGCAUGUUUUGCAUUGCAUUUCUGAAGUACCCAGGAUGAAAGAAGUAGUGUAAAAGUUUUAAAACAACCCAGUGGGCUUGAAAACACGUUCUUAUCUUAACACAGAUGUUACCUGUUGCUGCAUUGAGUUGUUUCAGUGCACAAUACUGCAGUCUGUAAGUAGCUGCUUUCCAUGGCAGCUGCUGAUCUGAUGCCCAGUUUUGCCCAGCUGUAUGAAGGCCACUGGUAACUUGCUGUAACGUUACAAACGCUGACAUGUAGACAGGCUGCUUGGUACCACUCUGCACAUCUAGGACCGGCAGACCAAUGUUAUUUCCUCUUUUUUUUUUUUUUUUUUUUUUGCGUGUGUCUGAAAUAAAAGGUCAAUUAAUAAUUUUGUUAGUGUUUAU
Molecule: long non-coding RNA, 2571 nt
Filed under: Numida meleagris (helmeted guineafowl)
Lineage: Eukaryota; Metazoa; Chordata; Aves; Galliformes; Numididae
Description: lncRNA (ENSNMEG00000019356.1)
Source: RNAcentral